GGGACCGAGGGCGUGGUUGUUUCAAAGUAAGAAUUGUUUAAUAUUUUUUCAAGUGAUGCUUUCACAUUUUAAACUAAACUUGUGUCAUAAAAUGUAACAAUUGUAUACUUUUUAUGUAACUGAUUACGUAUUAACAAUGAAACUGAUAUAUGUAAUAUGUGAGCAAGAAGUUUUCAACUUUACAUAUAACAGAUAACUGAUCCUUCUCUUACAACUGAGGUAGGGAGAAUGGCCAAGGUUUACCGGGGAUGUUGUGUUGAGGCGAUCGGAAACGCUGAUACCUUCCGUCUUGAAAUGCCACACGAUCUAGACUUAAAUAAAAAGAUACUUCUUAUUGGAGCAGUGUUCUUCAUUGAUUUCGUGAAUUUUGAACAGAAGUAAAAAAAAAAGCAAUACACUGGUACAUUGUGUACAGAAAAAGUCUCAACUUUGACUUAAAAUAGAUACGUUGAAACGUUACAAGCUAUAACUUAUUGAAUACGCAUACUCUGACUGAUUGAUACAAUUUAGUUCAAUGGCUCACACAUGUUGGAAUCUGUUGUAUUUAUAAAAGUUUCCGUGCCAUAUUUACAUGUAUAUUGUGUGAUACAAGUCAUUAUAUAAAUAUCUGUGCAGGUUAUUUUUUGAAUACUCACUUUAUGUUAUUCCUAUGGUCAAAGAAUUAUGAUUUAUUGAUGAUAUAAACCUUAAAGGGACUCCACUGAGGUUUAAAAAGCCUAAACACAUAACAUUUGAAUUUCUUGGGCAUUUUAAACAGAAAUAUAUGCAAAGAUUGUUAAGAAAUAUACUUUGAUGUAAAUUGAAAAUCGUAUUUUUAUGCUUUCCAUAGAUCGAUUUGAGUGAAAAGCGUUUAGGCCUAUACACUUUUCAUUUUGGGUCACCUUUUUACAAUUUGAAUCAUAAUUCUGAAAAAACGAAGUAUGCGAAUGAUUUAAAUGUCGGUUAGUGGUCUAAAUAUAAAUCAAAUAGUACAUUUAUCUGGAAAAAAUAUUCUUAGUCCCAUCAUGUCAAAAAACCUCAGUGGAGUCCCUUUAAACUGGCUUGAUAAGAAAGUGAUUAGUCUUUGCCAGCACUAUAGGGAGAACAGCUUGAUUAACUAUGUAGUCUGGUCAUGCUCUCAUGAUGUGGUUGAUCAACUUCAAAAUUAUCAUUUUGAUAUCCAUUAAAUUUAAUGUAUGGUUAAAAAUGAAAGCUGAACACGACGUGUAUCUUAAGAAAUUGAGCAGGUUAAAGCAGCAUGCCUCCAGAUUAAUGCUUAUGUUCAUGAAAAUGUUUUUAAAAAGAUAUAAAGUAAAAUACUGUGAAGUGAACAAAGACGGUAAUUUACACAUUUCAAACGGCACUUACAAUCCACUUAAAUUACCAUAGAAAGGUCAAAAUAUAAAUAAAUAUCUCCAACUGCGUUAGUAAUGCAGAAGAAUAUAGUGAUUGAUACUGCAAAAUCAGUCAUUUAUCGCACAUAACAUGUAAAUAGUUAAUUAAAUAUUGAUUAUGUUUACUUUUCUUUAGAUCUUAAUACAUUUUUCUAAAGACUGAAUAUCUUGUGAUAUUUUGGAUCAUCUGGAGGUGUGCAGCUUUAAAAGUGAAGUUUUAAUGAUAUUAAAGACAUUUCUGAUAGCAGUUCAGUACAUACAUAAAGUACCUCUGAUAUUUUACCUAUGAAAUCAUAAUUGAUUUUUAAGGUUCGAUGAAUAGUUUGUUUUUUGUUUAUAUCUAUGUGUUGUUAUUUUCAUGGAUAUUUUUAUAUAUUGGCAAUGCUUAUACUUUACUAUUGAAUCUAUUAGUGCCAUGUAGCAUUAUACACAUAUAUAUAUUUAUACUAUUUAUUUUGUAUAUUUAAUCAACGUUUUUACUUUUUCUAUUUAUAUAUUUAUAUGAUUUAAAAAGUAUAUUGUUUGCCAUGUUUUUAGCAUAUUUUUAUUUCACCUUGAAUAUUUUUUUUUGAAAUACGUUUUAUACAUUGUACGUCAGAAACGUUAAAACCGAGCGUGUUGUUGUUGAAGAGGUGCGAACACUGCAUUACUGAGAUUUUUUUAUCUUGACUUUUCUAGGAAUAGGAGAACCACUUUUACACACAUCGACGCUAGCGUCAAUCUUAGCUCAUGUUGGUAUCUCCAAAAACGACUGAAGGGAAUGGGUUGAAACUUUACAUACUUGUUCUCUGUGAAAAUCAUACAUGAUCACCACAGUUUCCAUAAUCCUUUAUAACUUUUUACAGAGAAAUGAUUCCUUUUUUAAUGUCAAUCACUGUCUUAUUUACAGCUCUUGUUAUCGCAAACAUUUAUUUACUUGGAUUGAUCUGAUAUCAUUUUAAAUUGAGUGGACUUUAUGUUUGUUUUUUUUUAUUUACAUCUGAUGUCAUGUUAGCAAAUAUUUAUAUAUGUUUAUACUAAAUAAAAUAUGUUUGG
This is a long non-coding RNA of Ruditapes philippinarum (Manila clam), 2408 nucleotides long. RefSeq lists it as uncharacterized. The transcript is spliced from 3 exons. NCBI's taxonomy places the organism in Eukaryota, Metazoa, Mollusca, Bivalvia, Venerida, Veneridae. The record is from RefSeq and is a predicted model, not a curated record.